GACGAACGCUGGCGGCGUGCUUAACACAUGCAAGUCGAACGGAAAGGCCCUGCUUUUGUGGGGUGCUCGAGUGGCGAACGGGUGAGUAACACGUGAGUAACCUGCCCUUGACUUUGGGAUAACUUCAGGAAACUGGGGCUAAUACCGGAUAGGAGCUCCUGCUGCAUGGUGGGGGUUGGAAAGUUUCGGCGGUUGGGGAUGGACUCGCGGCUUAUCAGCUUGUUGGUGGGGUAGUGGCUUACCAAGGCUUUGACGGGUAGCCGGCCUGAGAGGGUGACCGGCCACAUUGGGACUGUGGUACGGCCCAGACUCCUACGGGAGGCAGCAGUGGGGAAUAUUGCACAAUGGGCGGAAGCCUGAUGCAGCAACGCCGCGUGCGGGAUGACGGCCUUCGGGUUGUAAACCGCUUUCGCCUGUGACGAAGCGUGAGUGACGGUAAUGGGUAAAGAAGCACCGGCUAACUACGUG
RNAcentral lists this ribosomal RNA (468 nucleotides) under uncultured bacterium. RNAcentral describes it as "partial 16S ribosomal RNA". It matches the Rfam family "Bacterial small subunit ribosomal RNA", at positions 28 to 507 of the family's 1533-position model. The record is from RNAcentral.